GUGCCAGCAGCCGCGGUAAUACGAAGGGGGCUAGCGUUGCUCGGAAUCACUGGGCGUAAAGGGCGCGUAGGCGGCCGAUUAAGUCGGGGGUGAAAGCCUGUGGCUCAACCACAGAAUUGCCUUCGAUACUGGUUGGCUUGAGACCGGAAGAGGACAGCGGAACUGCGAGUGUAGAGGUGAAAUUCGUAGAUAUUCGCAAGAACACCAGUGGCGAAGGCGGCUGUCUGGUCCGGUUCUGACGCUGAGGCGCGAAAGCGUGGGGAGCAAACAGGAUUAGAUACCCCAGUAGUCC
Molecule: ribosomal RNA, 292 nt
Filed under: uncultured Methylobacterium sp.
Lineage: Bacteria; Pseudomonadati; Pseudomonadota; Alphaproteobacteria; Hyphomicrobiales; Methylobacteriaceae
Description: partial 16S ribosomal RNA
Rfam family: Bacterial small subunit ribosomal RNA
Source: RNAcentral